UACGAAGGGGGCUAGCGUUGCUCGGAAUCACUGGGCGUAAAGCGCACGUAGGCGGAUUGCUAAGUCAGGGGUGAAAUCCUGGAGCUCAACUCCAGAACUGCCUUUGAUACUGAAGAUCUUGAGUCCGGGAGAGGUGAGUGGAACUGCGAGUGUAGAGGUGAAAUUCGUAGAUAUUCGCAAGAACACCAGUGGCGAAGGCGGCUCACUGGCCCGGUACAGACGCUGAGGCACGAAAGCGUGGGGAGCAAACAGG
Molecule: ribosomal RNA, 253 nt
Filed under: uncultured bacterium
Lineage: Bacteria
Description: partial 16S ribosomal RNA
Rfam family: Bacterial small subunit ribosomal RNA
Source: RNAcentral